AUGCUUAACACAUGCAAGUCGACUGGAAUUCUUCUUCGGAAGAUAGUACGGUGGCGGACGGGUGAGUAACGCGUAAAGAAUUUACCCUUCAGACUGGGACAACUAAUCGAAAGGUUAGCUAAUACCGGAUAUUAUGAGACCUUGGCAUCAAGGACUUAUGAAAGCUAUAUGCGCUGGAGGAGAGCUUUGCGUUCCAUUAGCUAGUUGGUAGGGUAAUGGCCUACCAAGGCAACGAUGGAUAGCCGGCCUGAGAGGGUGAACGGCCACAAGGGGACUGAGACACGGCCCUUACUCCUACGGGAGGCAGCAGUGGGGAAUAUUGGACAAUGGACCAAAAGUCUGAUCCAGCAAUUCUGUGUGCACGAUGAANGUCUUCGGAUUGUAAAGUGCUUUCAGGUGGGAAGAAGAAAGUGACGGUACCACCAGAAGAAGCGACGGCUAAAUACGUGCCAGCAGCCGCGGUAAUACGUAUGUCGCA
This 478-nucleotide ribosomal RNA is filed under the name uncultured Psychrilyobacter sp. RNAcentral describes it as "bacterial SSU rRNA". It matches the Rfam family "Bacterial small subunit ribosomal RNA", at positions 44 to 536 of the family's 1533-position model. The record is from RNAcentral. Lineage: Bacteria; Fusobacteriati; Fusobacteriota; Fusobacteriia; Fusobacteriales; Fusobacteriaceae.